RNAcentral lists this ribosomal RNA (253 nucleotides) under uncultured bacterium. RNAcentral's name for it is "partial 16S ribosomal RNA". It matches the Rfam family "Bacterial small subunit ribosomal RNA", at positions 524 to 776 of the family's 1533-position model. The record is from RNAcentral.
UACAGAGGUGGCAAGCGUUGUUCGGAUUUACUGGGCGUAAAGGGUGCGUAGGUGGUAUUGUGUGUCGGGCGUGAAAGCUCACCGCUCAACGGUGAAAGGCCGUCCGAAACUACAAAACUAGAGUGCAGGAGAGGAGAGCGGAAUACUUGGUGUAGCGGUGGAAUGCGUUGAGAUCAAGUAGAACACCGGUGGCGUAGGCGGCUCUCUGGAAUGUAACUGACACUGAGGCACGAAAGUUGGGGGAGCAAACAGG